UACGAAGGGGGCUAGCGUUGCUCGGAUUGACUGGGCGUAAAGGGCGUGUAGGCGGGAAGGAAAGUCAGAUGUGAAAUCCCUGGGCUCAACCCAGGAACUGCAUUUGAAACUCCCUUUCUUGAGUGUCGGAGAGGAAAGCGGAAUUCCUGGUGUAGAGGUGAAAUUCGUAGAUAUCAGGAGGAACACCGGUGGCGAAGGCGGCUUUCUGGACGACAACUGACGCUGAGACGCGAAAGCGUGGGGAGCAAACAGG
This 253-nucleotide ribosomal RNA is filed under the name uncultured bacterium. RNAcentral describes it as "partial 16S ribosomal RNA". It matches the Rfam family "Bacterial small subunit ribosomal RNA", at positions 524 to 776 of the family's 1533-position model. The record is from RNAcentral.